This 464-nucleotide ribosomal RNA is filed under the name uncultured bacterium. RNAcentral's name for it is "partial 16S ribosomal RNA". It matches the Rfam family "Bacterial small subunit ribosomal RNA", at positions 28 to 506 of the family's 1533-position model. The record is from RNAcentral.
GAUGAACGCUGGCGGCGUGCUUAACACAUGCAAGUCGAACGGAAAGGCUCCUGCUUGCAGGGGUACUCGAGUGGCGAACGGGUGAGUAACACGUGGGUGAUCUGCCCUGCACUUCGGGAUAAGCCUGGGAAACUGGGUCUAAUACCGGAUAGGACGAUGGUUUGGAUGCCAUUGUGGAAAGUUUUUCGGUGUGGGAUGAGCUCGCGGCCUAUCAGCUUGUUGGUGGGGUAAUGGCCUACCAAGGCGUCGACGGGUAGCCGGCCUGAGAGGGUGUACGGCCACAUUGGGGCUGAGAUACGGCCCAGACUCCUACGGGAGGCAGCAGUGGGGAAUAUUGCACAAUGGGCGCAAGCCUGAUGCAGCGACGCCGCGUGGGGGAUGACGGCCUUCGGGUUGUAAACUCCUUUCGCUAGGGACGAAGCGCAAGUGACGGUACCUGGAGAAGAAGCACCGGCUAACUACGU